GAAUCAAUUAGUCACACCUCCUCAGAAAAUCAUUGAGAAGAUAUUUGAUUUCUUCAUAUCUUGAUUUCUCGAUCUCAAUUGUUAAUCUCGAAGGAAUCUCUAUUGCUAUUCUCGACUUGCGAUUCGCUAAUCUCUAAUCUCGACUGCUACUUUGUUCUGCCGACUUGUAUGUGCUCUGCUAAUCUGAAAUUAGGGUUUCUUUGCUGGGUUUCUGCUAAUCUGAACUGCUACUCUGUUGUGCUACUCUAUUGUACUUUGCUUGUUUUUUGCUGGGUUUGCUAGGUUUCAAUUCGCCGGGUUGUGAAAUUAGGGUUCUUUGUCGGGUUUCUGGUAAAUCUCAAGAACAAGGGUCCUUUUACUUGCCAAAUCACGUUGUGAUUGGAAGCUAUAUUCCUGGCUAUCAGCAGGAGCCAAAGCCUAAAACGCAGAGAUCCGAGUUUGCACCAACUAUCUCUUCAGUCCCUGCUCCUAAUCAUGCUUAUGCAGGAAGUAUUGAUUCAAUAUAUAAUCUUGCGAUGCAAAGCAUCACCCCUCCUUCAUAUCAUGGAAUCAAUGGGAAUGCAGGUAAUUCUGUUAGUGGCCCAAGUAUUCUUGCUGCGGAAAAUAAUAUUUCUAGUAUCAGGUAUCAAAUUGGGGGUAGCAAUCUUUGUUCCAUUACAAUAUACAGUUACUAUUUACGCGUUAAGUUACAGGGUGAAAAGUGUAAAGGGUGCAAAUAAACAACAAUUCCCGUACGAGGUGCUUAUCUUAUUGUUUUAUACUUCCAUCUAUAUUUAAGAUUGAUUAUCACUACAAGUGGUGUUAGUGCUGACUUGGGUCUUUUUAGUUUGUUUUCCAGACGAAGUAAAUCAGUCCAUUGUAAUAAGUGGUGAAAGUGGAGCCGGAAAACUGAAACGGCUAAGAUAGCAAUGCAAUGUUGGGCUGCACUUGGAGGCGGAAAUGGCAUAGAAUACGAAAUAUUAAAAACUAAUCCUAUUCUGGAGGCCUUUGGUGAUGCAAAGACAUCAAGAAAUAACAACUCUAUUCGAUUUCUCGUCAUUUUGCAGGCACUAAAUCUACCAAACUAUGUGAAGCACAGCUUCAAUCCUUCUGUGUUGGCCUUGAUGUAUAUCUGUUGCCUUUAAUAACAGAUUACAUUAAAUUGUUUUUGAGUGCCCACCAAGAGUUUCACUUCACUGUUCAGGUCCCUGGCCAUCAGAAAAGGUUCUUGCUUAUUGCUUGUUGCUAUGGCCGCUGAAGCUUCGGAAGUUAAGUAGUGGAUUGUAUCCUUUUCACUUUGUCAUGUGCAGCUCCAUCCUGUUACUAAGGAGGUAAUCAUAUUUUUAAUACUGUGUAUUUUUCUUUUCUUCUCAGCUUACAAUUAAUCUUUAAUGUUUAACUUUAUGCAGUACUUAGUUUAGACAUUUUAUAGUUAUUUCCCACAAGCUCUAGGAAAUUCAAGAGUGUGUAUAUAUAUCAGACUUCUCACAUUGUAGCCCAAAACAGUGAAUGCUUCUUAUGACGAUAAUGAGGCUGCAGAUUUAUUAUGACCAUUCCCUGUUGAAAUAUUACCAGAUAAUGUGACACUGUUUUGUGGUAAUAGACCACCGGUCUGUUGGAACGUUUCAGGUCAGGGUGAUCAAAUUACUCUGCCUAAUUGGUUAGAUGGCACAAUGUAUAUUUAUAAGUACAUUUGAUAAUCCUAUAUGUAAUAACAUUUCUCGACUCAAAAAAAUAAACAAAUAAAAUGUCUGCUCCUUCCUGCUAAACACACCUUUCAUUUUGUUAUGUGUGUUGCACUAAUACAAACUAGUAUUACUCUUAGCCGGCCUACUCUUUUGCUCCUUUCAGGAAAGCAAGUCUAUAGGUGCUGAGUAAACUGAGGAAUGAGGUUUAAUAAAUUAGAAUAUAGUAUAGUCUUUACACGGCUCAACAAUUUAGAAAAUAUUAGUAUUGUGACUAUGGUCCGUAUUUUUUUUAUGUAUAUAGUAUAUUAUUCUUCUUUUAUGUAUUCAGUCAUGAUCGUGUAAUUAGGAUUGUUAAUCUAAUAUCUAAUAAUUCAUAUAGUAUCUGCUGGUUAUUCAUUCUAGUUUUUUUAUUAGCAAGUUGAUAGCUCCAUGGACAGGAUCAGAAGUUAAGGUACUUGUUAAAUUCAUGGUUGGAGAGGAAGAUGCGAAUGGUUCUAAUUUUUUGGUCAUGCAGGACGCUGAAGAAAAUUGAUAGUGCAUUCAAAUGUAUAUCAAAUGUAUAAAUUUGGCUAUUAAUUGUUAAGUUUUCAUUACAUAUUGCUCUUUGUAGAGGCAUAUUGUUCCAUGUAAUAAUCAACUAUGUAAUAUUUUUUUCUUAAUAAGAUCCAAUUGAUGGUUUACUCUUCUUAUGUAA
Molecule: long non-coding RNA, 2361 nt
Organism: Daucus carota subsp. sativus
Lineage: Eukaryota; Viridiplantae; Streptophyta; Magnoliopsida; Apiales; Apiaceae
Exons: 5
Source: RefSeq, a predicted model, not a curated record